This 450-nucleotide ribosomal RNA is filed under the name uncultured bacterium. RNAcentral's name for it is "bacterial SSU rRNA". It matches the Rfam family "Bacterial small subunit ribosomal RNA", at positions 354 to 796 of the family's 1533-position model. The record is from RNAcentral.
GUGGGGAAUUUUGGACAAUGGGCGAAAGCCUGAUCCAGCCAUGCCGCGUGCAGGAUGAAGGCCUUCGGGUUGUAAACUGCUUUUGUACGGAACGAAAAGACUCUGGUUAAUACCUGGGGUCCAUGACGGUACCGUAAGAAUAAGCACCGGCUAACUACGUGCCAGCAGACGCGGUAAUACGUAGGGUGCAAGCGUUAAUCGGAAUUACUGGGCGUAAAGAGUGCGCAGGCGGGUAUAUAAGACAGAUGUGAAAUCCACGGGCUCAACCUGGGAACUGCAUUUGUGACUGUAUAGCUAGAGUACGGCAGAGGGGGAUGGAAUUCCGCGUGUAGCAUUGAAAUGCGUAGAUAUGCGGAGGAACACCGAUGGCGAAGGCAAUCCCCUGGGCCUGCACUGACGCUCAUGCACGAAAGCGUGGGGAGCAAACAGGAUUAGAAACCCGUGUAGUCC